This 1491-nucleotide ribosomal RNA is filed under the name metagenome. RNAcentral describes it as "bacterial SSU rRNA". It matches the Rfam family "Bacterial small subunit ribosomal RNA". The record is from RNAcentral.
AGAGUUUGAUCCUGGCUCAGAUUGAACGCUGGCGGCAUGCCUUACACAUGCAAGUCGAACGGUAACGCGGGGGCAACCCUGGCGACGAGUGGCGAACGGGUGAGUAAUACAUCGGAACAUAUCCAGUAGCGGGGGAUAACCUAUCGAAAGAUGGACUAAUACCGCAUACGAUCUACGGAUGAAAGCAGGGGACCGCAAGGCCUUGCACUAUUGGAGUGGCCGAUGUCGGAUUAGCUAGUUGGUGGGGUAAAAGCUUACCAAGGCGACGAUCCGUAGCUGGUCUGAGAGGACGAUCAGCCACACUGGAACUGAGACACGGUCCAGACUCCUACGGGAGGCAGCAGUGGGGAAUUUUGGACGAUGGGCGCAAGCCUGAUCCAGCCAUGCCGCGUGAGUGAAGAAGGCCUUCGGGUUGUAAAGCUCUUUCGGUGAAGACGAAACGGUUCAUGCUAAUAACGUGAACUAAUGACGGUACUCACAGAAGAAGCACCGGCUAACUACGUGCCAGCAGCCGCGGUAAUACGUAGGGUGCAGGCGUUAAUCGGAAUUACUGGGCGUAAAGCGUGCGCAGGCGGUUUGCUAAGACAGGUGUGAAAUCCCCGGGCUUAACCUGGGAAUUGCGCUUGUAACUGGCAAGCUAGAGUGUGGCAGAGGGGGGUGGAAUUCCACGUGUAGCAGUGAAAUGCGUAGAUAUGUGGAGGAACACCGAUGGCGAAGGCAGCCCCCUGGGUUAACACUGACGCUCAUGCACGAAAGCGUGGGGAGCAAACAGGAUUAGAUACCCUGGUAGUCCACGCCCUAAACUAUGUCAACUAGUUGUCGGGGAAGAAAUUCCUUGGUAACGAAGCUAACGCGUGAAGUUGACCGCCUGGGGAGUACGGCCGCAAGGUUAAAACUCAAAGGAAUUGACGGGGACCCGCACAAGCGGUGGAUUAUGGAUUAAUUCGAUGCAACGCGAAAAACCUUACCUACCCUUGACAUGCUAGGAAGCCCGCAGAGAUGUGGGUGUGCCCGAAAGGGAACCUAGACACAGGUGCUGCAUGGCUGUCGUCAGCUCGUGUCGUGAGAUGUUGGGUUAAGUCCCGCAACGAGCGCAACCCUUGCCAUUAGUUGCUACAUUCAGUUGGGCACUCUAAUGGGACCGCCGGUGACAAACCGGAGGAAGGUGGGGAUGACGUCAAGUCCUCAUGGCCCUUAUGGGUAGGGCUUCACACGUAAUACAAUGGUCGGUACAGAGGGCUGCCAACCCGCAAGGGGGAGCUAAUCCCAGAAAGCCGAUCGUAGUCCGGAUUGUAGUCUGCAACUCGACUGCAUGAAGCCGGAAUCGCUAGUAAUCGCGGAUCAGCAUGUCGCGGUGAAUACGUUCCCGGGUCUUGUACACACCGCCCGUCACACCAUGGGAGUGGGUUCCACCAGAAGUAGUUAGCCUAACCGCAAGGAGGGCGAUUACCACGGUGAGAUUCAUGACUGGGGUGAAGUCGUAACAAGGUA